CAAUCCUUUUUUUUGGAGAAGUGAUGGUCUAGCAGUUAACCAGUGGGAUUGAGAACAGAGGAACCUCUGUUCAAACCCCCAUCUGGCUGGAAAAUCACUAAGGAACCUUGGGCAAGGUCCUUAAUCCCCAAGUUGUGCCCACUGUGUAGUGA
This is a long non-coding RNA of Thalassophryne amazonica, 152 nucleotides long. RefSeq lists it as uncharacterized. The record is from RefSeq and is a predicted model, not a curated record. Lineage: Eukaryota; Metazoa; Chordata; Actinopteri; Batrachoidiformes; Batrachoididae. The transcript is spliced from 3 exons.